This 72-nucleotide transfer RNA is filed under the name Dermacentor silvarum. RNAcentral describes it as "transfer RNA glycine (anticodon GCC)". It matches the Rfam family "tRNA". Rfam says of the family: Transfer RNA (tRNA) molecules are approximately 80 nucleotides in length. Their secondary structure includes four short double-helical elements and three loops (D, anti-codon, and T loops). Lineage: Eukaryota; Metazoa; Arthropoda; Arachnida; Ixodida; Ixodidae. The record is from RNAcentral.
GCGUCGGUGGUUCAGCUGAUAGAAUACUCGCCUGCCACGCGGGUGGCCCGGUUUCGAUUCCCGGCCGACGCA